RNAcentral lists this ribosomal RNA (253 nucleotides) under uncultured bacterium. RNAcentral's name for it is "partial 16S ribosomal RNA". It matches the Rfam family "Bacterial small subunit ribosomal RNA", at positions 524 to 776 of the family's 1533-position model. The record is from RNAcentral.
UACAGAGACUGCAAGCGUUAUUCGGAUUCACUGGGCGUAAAGGGUGCGCAGGCGGCCAUGUGUGUGAGGCGUGAAAGCCCGGGGCUUAACCCCGGAAUUGCACCCCAAACUACAUGGCUAGAGCAUUGGAGAGGGUAGCGGAAUUCACGGUGUAGCAGUGAAAUGCGUAGAUAUCGUGAGGAACACCAGAGGCGAAGGCGGCUACCUGGACAAUUGCUGACGCUCAGGCACGAAAGCGUGGGGAGCAAAAGGG